AAUAGACCCGAAGCGGUAUGAGCUAGACAUGGGCAGGUUGAAGGCAUAGGAAACUAUGCUGGAGGACCGAACGGGUUGGUGCUGCAAAACCUUCCGAUGACCUGUGUUUAGGAGUGAAAAGCUCAUCGAAUACCGUGAUAGCUGGUUCUCUCCGAAAUGCAUUUAGGUGCAGCCUGCAUUUCAAGAUCUUGAAGAGGUAGAGCUCUGGAAAGGCUAGGGGUGUCGAGAGACAUUACCAAACCUUACUAAACUUCGAAUGCUUCAAGGAAUAUUGCAGAGUGGGACUACGGGAGCAAGUUUCGUAGUCAAAAGGAUAACAGUCCAGACUUCUGAUUAAGGUCCCUAAAGUAAUGCUAAGUGGAAAAAGAGGUGUCUUUGUUUAUACAUCCAGGAGGUUUGCCUAGAAGCAGCAAUCCUUUAAAGAAAGCGUAACAGCUCACUGGACUAACGAAGAUGCGCUGAAGAUGUAACGGGGCUAAGCAUUAUACCGAAAUCGAAGACCAUCGGUAGUAAUACCAUGGUGGUAGGAGAGUGUUCUUACAGGAUGAAGCUACAUCGUGAGGUGUGGUCGACUAGUAAGAAGUAAAAAUGCUGACAUGAGUAACGCUUAUUGAUGAAAAUUCAAUAUAUCGAAACCCUAAGGAUUCCUACGCAACGUUCAUCGUCGUAGGGUUAGUCGGGACCUAAGGCGCAUCCUGAAAAGGAUGGUCGAUGGAUAACUGGUUAAUAUUCCAGUACUUAUUUAUAGAGUGAUGGGGUGACGCAUCGAGAUUUGUAAGAGCUUAUUAAGGAUUUGAGUCGAAAGAGUGAGGUUUUUAUGACGUUAGUCGUAAAGGUAGUUGCAGGAAAAUCCACAACUAUUGAUACUGAGCUUGAUCGGAAUUUAAUUCUUAGGAAUUAGAAAUUCUCAUCGUUUUGGUGCCGAGAAAAACUUCUAAACUUAAUCUUUAUAUAACCCGUACUCAGAUCAGACACUUGUGGGGUGGUAGAGAAUACUAAGAUAAUCGAGAUAAUUAAUGGGUAAGGAACUUGGCAAAUUAGCGGACGUACUUUCGAAAUAAGUCCUGUCCCGAGCAAUCGGGAUCGCAGCGAAAGAGAUGGGGGGAACUGUUUAUCAAAAACACAGCUCGCUGCUAACUCGUAAGAGGAUGUAUAGCGGGUGAUGCCUGUCCAAUGCCAGAAUGUUAUGCUCUCUUGUGCAAGCUCGAGGGUUAAGCACUGGUGAAUGACGGCCGUAACUAUGACGGUCCUAAGGUAGCGAAAUUCCUUGUCAGGUAAGUUCUGACGCGCAUGAAUGGCAUAAUCAUCCCCAUGCUGUCUUACCCUUAAACUCGGUGAAAUUACAUUCCCGGUAAAAAUGCCGGGUAGUCACAGUUAGACGGAAAGACCCUGUGAAGCUUUACUGUAGAUUGAUAUUGGACUGUAGCAUGUUUUGCUCAGUAUAGGUGGGAGGCUUUGAUGUUUCGACUUCGGUUGGGGCGGAGCCAAAAGUGAGAUACCACCCAAAAUAUGUAGCAGUUCUAAUCCCUGUGUUGGGAGACAGUUUCAGUUGGACAGUUUACCUGGGGCGGGUGCCUCCUAAAAAGUAGCGGAGGCGUGCAAAGGUUUGCUUACUACGGAUGGAAACCGUGGUGAAUGUGUAUUCGCAUAAGCAAGCUUGACUGUGAGACUGACAGGUCGAGCAGAUACGAAAGUAGGCGAAAGUGAUCCGGAUCUUCCAAGUGGAAGGGGAUCCGCUCAACGGAUAAAAGUUACUCCGGGGAUAACAGGCUAAUGGAAUCUAAGCGUUCAUAGCGACGAUUCCGUUUGGCACCUCGAUGUCGACUCGUCGCAUCCUGGGGCUGUAGAAGGUCCCAAGGGUUGGGUUGUUCACCCAUUAAAGCGGGACGCGAGUUGGGUUCAGAACGUCGUGAGACAGUUCGGUCCCUAUCUACUGUGACCGUAGGAUAUUUGAGAGAUGCUGACCCUAGUACGAGAGGACCGGGUUGGACGAGCCUCUGAUAGUACCAGUUGUUCCACCAGGAGCACGGCUGGAUAGUUAAGCUCGGAAAAGGUAACCGCUGAAAGCAUCUAAGUGGGAAACUUGUCUCAAGAUUAGAUAUCCCUCU
Molecule: ribosomal RNA, 2108 nt
Filed under: human metagenome
Description: bacterial LSU rRNA
Rfam family: Bacterial large subunit ribosomal RNA
Source: RNAcentral